This is a non-coding RNA of Acanthosepion pharaonis, 92 nucleotides long. Lineage: Eukaryota; Metazoa; Mollusca; Cephalopoda; Sepiida; Sepiidae. The record is from the annotation of a GenBank genome assembly.
CUCCGGUUUGCAUAUGAUCAUUGGAGUUAAGCAACAUUGAACUUGGUCAGUACUGAGAUGGGUGACCACCUGGGAAUACCAGGUGCUGUAAG